RNAcentral lists this unclassified non-coding RNA (219 nucleotides) under Hevea brasiliensis (rubber tree). Lineage: Eukaryota; Viridiplantae; Streptophyta; Magnoliopsida; Malpighiales; Euphorbiaceae. The record is from RNAcentral.
GUUGGCAUCAUUUCGUAUGGGCGAACCGUGUCGGUGUACGAUUUCUCAGAGGGUUCGAUGGCAUCUGCAGAUGUACUUCCGGGUGGUAAGUCGCCUACUCAAGAAUCUCUGAAAGCAUUGUUUUGUGGGACCGGUAUUUACCUGGCUGCGACCCAUGCGUCACGUCCUGUCAUGGAUAAGGUUUUUUCGUCUCUAAGACCGUACAAGCUUAACUUGCCG